UAGGGAAUAUUGGUCAAUGGGCGGAAGCCUGAACCUGCCAUGCCGCGUGCAGGAAGACGGCCUUCUGGGUUGUAAACUGCUUUUACCAGGGAACAAAUAGGCCAUGCGUGGCAAGUUGAGUGUACCUGGGGAAUAAGCACCGGCUAACUCUGUGCCAGCAGCCGCGGUAAUACAGAGGGUGCAAACGUUGCUCGGAAUGACUGGGCGUAAAGCGCGCGCAGGUGGCCCGUUAAGUCGGCUGUGAAAUCCCCUGGCUCAACCAGGGAAGUGCAGUCGAUACUGGCGGGCUCGAGUCCCGGAGAGGGUGGUAGAAUUCCCAGUGUAGAGGUGAAAUUCGUAGAUAUUGGGAGGAAUACCGGUGGCGAAGGCGACCGCCUGGACGGGUACUGACGCUGAGGCGCGAAAGCGUGGGGAGCAAACAGGAUUAGAUACCCCCGUAGUCC
RNAcentral lists this ribosomal RNA (443 nucleotides) under uncultured prokaryote. Its description in RNAcentral is "bacterial SSU rRNA". It matches the Rfam family "Bacterial small subunit ribosomal RNA", at positions 355 to 796 of the family's 1533-position model. The record is from RNAcentral.